This 201-nucleotide long non-coding RNA is filed under the name Physcomitrium patens. Its description in RNAcentral is "long non-coding RNA (PPAT_LNC008830)". The record is from RNAcentral. Lineage: Eukaryota; Viridiplantae; Streptophyta; Bryopsida; Funariales; Funariaceae.
CAUUAACAGGUAUACCUGAUUACGCGUGAAUAAACUUGAUCAGAUUGAAUGAGAAACCACAACCUAAGCACACUGUACAAAACAGUUCUGUUUUUGGAACAUGUACAGGUUGAUUAAGUGUACACGAGAGUAUUUGACGGUGUGAGGAUCUGUAUUCGGGCAUGCUAACCAGGCCCGAGAGAAUUUGUUCGACACGACCAG